CACGCCGUAAACGAUGAGUGCUAGGUGUUGGGCAGCAAUGCUCAGUGCCGAAGUAAACACAAUAAGCACUCCGCCUGGGGAGUACGUACGCAAGUAUGAAACUCAAAGGAAUUGACGGGGACCCGCACAAGCAGCGGAGCAUGUGGUUUAAUUCGAAGCAACGCGAAGAACCUUACCAAGGCUUGACAUCCCCUUGACAGAUGCAGAGAUGUGUCCUCCUCUUCGGAGGCAAGGGAGACAGGUGG
This 245-nucleotide ribosomal RNA is filed under the name uncultured Sedimentibacter sp. RNAcentral describes it as "partial 16S ribosomal RNA". It matches the Rfam family "Bacterial small subunit ribosomal RNA", at positions 796 to 1041 of the family's 1533-position model. The record is from RNAcentral. Lineage: Bacteria; Bacillati; Bacillota; Tissierellia.